This 55-nucleotide non-coding RNA is filed under the name unclassified sequences. The record is from RNAcentral.
CUCCAGCAAAAAGGCAAGCCUUGACGCGGCGCUGGAGCUUAUCCACUAAUUGCCU